UACGUAGGGGGCAAGCGUUGUCCGGAAUUAUUGGGCGUAAAGCGCGCGCAGGCGGUCUUUUAAGUCUGGUGUUUAAGCCCGGGGCUCAACCCCGGUUCGCACCGGAAACUGGAAGACUUGAGUGCAGGAGAGGAAAGCGGAAUUCCACGUGUAGCGGUGAAAUGCGUAGAGAUGUGGAGGAACACCAGUGGCGAAGGCGGCUUUCUGGACUGUAACUGACGCUGAGGCGCGAAAGCGUGGGGAGCAAAC
Molecule: ribosomal RNA, 249 nt
Filed under: uncultured Bacilli bacterium
Lineage: Bacteria; Bacillati; Bacillota; Bacilli
Description: partial 16S ribosomal RNA
Rfam family: Bacterial small subunit ribosomal RNA
Source: RNAcentral